UACGAAGGGAGCUAGCGUUGUUCGGAAUCACUGGGCGUAAAGCGCACGUAGGCGGAUGUGUCAGUCAGGGGUGAAAUCCCGGAGCUCAACUUCGGAACUGCCUUUGAUACAGCACGUCUUGAGUCCGGAAGAGGUGGGUGGAAUUCCUAGUGUAGAGGUGAAAUUCGUAGAUAUUAGGAAGAACACCGGUGGCGAAGGCGGCCCACUGGUCCGGUACUGACGCUGAGGUGCGAAAGCGUGGGGAGUAAACAGG
RNAcentral lists this ribosomal RNA (253 nucleotides) under uncultured bacterium. RNAcentral's name for it is "partial 16S ribosomal RNA". It matches the Rfam family "Bacterial small subunit ribosomal RNA", at positions 524 to 776 of the family's 1533-position model. The record is from RNAcentral.